GGAGCGGUGUCCGAGUGGUUGAAGGAGCACGAUUGGAAAUCGUGUAUAGGUCAUGCCUAUCGAGGGUUCGAAUCCCUCUCGCUCCGCCA
Molecule: transfer RNA, 89 nt
Filed under: Armatimonadota bacterium
Lineage: Bacteria; Bacillati; Armatimonadota
Description: Armatimonadetes bacterium (activated sludge metagenome) tRNA-Ser
Rfam family: tRNA
About the family: Transfer RNA (tRNA) molecules are approximately 80 nucleotides in length. Their secondary structure includes four short double-helical elements and three loops (D, anti-codon, and T loops). Further hydrogen bonds mediate the characteristic L-shaped molecular structure. tRNAs have two regions of fundamental functional importance: the anti-codon, which is responsible for specific mRNA codon recognition, and the 3' end, to which the tRNAs corresponding amino acid is attached (by aminoacyl-tRNA synthetases). tRNAs cope with the degeneracy of the genetic code in two manners: having more than one tRNA (with a specific anti-codon) for a particular amino acid; and 'wobble' base-pairing, i.e. permitting non-standard base-pairing at the 3rd anti-codon position.
Source: RNAcentral